This 65-nucleotide transfer RNA is filed under the name Dipodomys ordii (Ord's kangaroo rat). It matches the Rfam family "tRNA". From Rfam's summary of the family: Transfer RNA (tRNA) molecules are approximately 80 nucleotides in length. Their secondary structure includes four short double-helical elements and three loops (D, anti-codon, and T loops). Lineage: Eukaryota; Metazoa; Chordata; Mammalia; Rodentia; Heteromyidae. The record is from Rfam by way of RNAcentral.
GGUGGCUCAGUGGUAGAGUGCUUGCCUUGCAUGCAUGAGGUUCUGGGUUCCAUUCCUCAGUACCA